UUAGAGAUGAAGAAGUUGGAAAUAGCUUUGCAGCAAUACAUACAUUGACAACAGAUAUCCAUCCACACAGAGAGCAACGCUUGGAUAAAUAGAAAGAGAAGAAAAGAGGCGAGGGGGCUCUCUAAUUACCAGCCAGGACUCUGGAGAUCCCGUCAGCCAUUGUGCGCGGGUGUGCAGAGGCUGUGUGGCCGGCAGGCAGGCGACAGGCGCCGGAUUGUGGACAAAGGACUGUCUGCUGCUGAGGCUGUGAGGCGUCCCCGACGCAGCGAUUAACCCUUCCACCAGGACGGUGACAUUUUUUAUCGACUGUCUGUCCUCCCCCACCCGUGGAAUAAUGGUACAGUAGAGAUGUAACAGGUGACUAAGUUGCACAGACGACGAAUACUAAACUAUAGUCCUAACCCACAAACAACACCUUGUACCCUUUUUAUCCAAGUUGUAAACGAGUUCUUAUGAAAUCAAGGAUGGAAAAGUUUUAAAAAAGAUUUCCAACCUCUGUCUAAUUUUUACUUUACCACAUAAAGCAGUAUCUAAUUCAUGCGUUAAGAACCUUUAACGUCCAUGGUUUAAUUCGACAAAAGGUUCUGCAAUGUGGAAGUACUUUCGGUUAAUCAAAAUGCUCUCCAGUCUCUUUUUUACACUUUGCAAAAAGGUUAUUUGUGGAACCUAUUUUUCCUUAUUACCGUGAAACCCCGAUUUGGAUUUUAAAAGAGCGACUUUAUAAACAUUUGAUUUUAAUUUUAAUUGAUUUGUCUCAACUACGCUAUUUUGUCAGUAAACUACAUCCCUGAUCAACAGAUGGCGCAGCUGCAUCAGAUUUAGCUUCUGAUAACUGCAAAACGUCGACCUAUGUGUUUAGUCAGCACACACGCUGCAUUUUAUUUAAUCAAGUGAGUAAAAUGUUUGAUAGGCCUAUACAUUUUCACAAAUAUUUUAGAAUUCCAGUAUCACGCAACAAAAAAGCAUACGAGAUUAAUGCAUCUCGUAGCGCUAAGACUGAAAAAUGACGAUUUAGCCUUCUGAACA
RNAcentral lists this long non-coding RNA (1026 nucleotides) under Danio rerio (zebrafish). RNAcentral describes it as "si:ch211-199d18.3 (ENSDARG00000097120.2)". Lineage: Eukaryota; Metazoa; Chordata; Actinopteri; Cypriniformes; Danionidae. The record is from RNAcentral.